CAUAGGUUAAUGAGGCGAACCGGGGGAACUGAAACAUCUAAGUACCCCGAGGAAAAGAAAUCAACCGAGAUUCCCCCAGUAGCGGCGAGCGAACGGGGAGCAGCCCAGAGCCUGAAUCAGUGUGUGUGUUAGUGGAAGCGUCUGGAAAGGCGCGCGAUACAGGGUGACAGCCCCGUACACAAAAAUGCACAUGCUGUGAGCUCGAUGAGUAGGGCGGGACACGUGGUAUCCUGUCUGAAUAUGGGGGGACCAUCCUCCAAGGCUAAAUACUCCUGACUGACCGAUAGUGAACCAGUACCGUGAGGGAAAGGCGAAAAGAACCCCGGCGAGGGGAGUGAAAAAGAACCUGAAACCGUGUACGUACAAGCAGUGGGAGCCUCUUUUAUGGGGUGACUGCGUACCUUUUGUAUAAUGGGUCAGCGACUUAUAUUCUGUAGCAAGGUUAACCGAAUAGGGGAGCCGAAGGGAAACCGAGUCUUAACUGGGCGUUAAGUUGCAGGGUAUAGACCCGAAACCCGGUGAUCUAGCCAUGGGCAGGUUGAAGGUUGGGUAACACUAACUGGAGGACCGAACCGACUAAUGUUGAAAAAUUAGCGGAUGACUUGUGGCUGGGGGUGAAAGGCCAAUCAAACCGGGAGAUAGCUGGUUCUCCCCGAAAGCU
RNAcentral lists this ribosomal RNA (661 nucleotides) under Escherichia coli. RNAcentral's name for it is "partial 23S ribosomal RNA". It matches the Rfam family "Bacterial large subunit ribosomal RNA", at positions 165 to 867 of the family's 2925-position model. The record is from RNAcentral. Lineage: Bacteria; Pseudomonadati; Pseudomonadota; Gammaproteobacteria; Enterobacterales; Enterobacteriaceae.